This 62-nucleotide transfer RNA is filed under the name Sermylassa halensis. RNAcentral describes it as "tRNA-Cys". Lineage: Eukaryota; Metazoa; Arthropoda; Insecta; Coleoptera; Chrysomelidae. The record is from RNAcentral.
AGUCUUAUAGUCAAAAAUGAUAUUAAAUUGCAAAUUUAAAGGUAAAUUAAAUUUUAAGGCUU